CUUGCUUCUAGUUUUUAUUGCGGGAUAUUUGCUGCUGAAUCAAAACAAACGUUUAACUCAGUGAGAUAAAUCCACACAUCACAAAGCAUUUUCAUGGAUAGCUUGCUUCUAGUUUUUAUUGCGGGAUAUUUGAUUUUUCACUAUAGGCCUGAAUGGGGUCUGAAAUGUUGCUUUGCAGAUUCUACAAAAAGAGUGUUUCCAACCUGCUGAAUCAAAACAGAGGUUUAACUCUUUGAGAUGAAUCCACACAUUGCAAAACAUUUUUACAGAUAGUUUGUUUUAGUUUUUAUGACAGGAUAUUUUGUUUUUCACUAUAGGAAUGAAUGGGCUCAAUAAUGUCCCCUUAGAUUGUACUAAAAAAUUGUUUCCAAACUGCUCUAUAAAAGCAAAGGUUUAACUCUGUGAGAUGAAUCCACACAUCACAAAGCAUUUUCACAGACAGUUUGUUUCUAGUUUUUAUCACAGGAUAUUCAGCUUUUCACUAUAAGCCUCAAAGGGCUCCGAAAUGUUCCUUCAUAGAUUCUACGAAGAGAGUAUUUCUAACCUGCUGAAUCAAAACAAACAUUUAACUCAUUGAGAUGAAUCCACACAUUGCAAAGCAUUUUCACAGAUUGAUUGUAGUUUUAUCACAAGAUACUCGGUUUUUCACUUUAGGCCUCACGAAGUAGACUGUCACGAAGUAGACUGUAAAAAAUAAGUGUCUCCAGCCUGCUGAAUAAAACCCAAAAUUUAACUCUGUGAGAUGCAAACAUAUAUUGCAAAGCAUAUUUACAGAUAGCCUGUUUCUAGUUUUAAUUGUGGGAUAUUGAGUUUUUCACCACAGGCCUUAAUGGACUCAAAAAAGACUCCUCUUAGAUUCUACUAAAUAUGUGUUUCCAACCUGUGUAUAAUAACAAAUAUUUAACUCUGUGAAAAAGAUCCAUUUAUAGCAAAGCUUUUUCACAAAUAGCUUGUUUCUAGUUUUUAUUGCAGAAUAUUCGAUGUUUCUCUGUAGGCCUUCAGUGUUCCUUCAUAGAUUUUACAAAAAGAAUCUUUACAACCUGCUGAAUCAAAACAAAGGUUUAACUCUGUGAGAUGAACCCACACAUCACAAAGCAUUUUCACAGAUAGCUUGUUUCUAUUUCUUAUCAGUUUUUAUUAAGAGGCUUCAAUGGGCUCUGAAAUUUUCCCUCAUAAACUCUAUUAAAAGAGUGUUUCCAACCUGCUGAAUCAAAACAAAGGUUUAACUUGUGAGAUGAAUCCACACAUCACAAAGCAUUUUCACCCAUAGCUUAUAUCUAGUUUUUACUGAGGGUAAUUGGUUUUUCACUAAAGGCCUCAAUGGGCCCUGAAUUGUCCCUUUGUAGAUUCAAAGAGUUUCCAACCUGAUGAAGCAAAACAAAGGUUUAAAUUUGUAAAAUGAAUCUACACAUCACAAAGCAUUUUUACAGAUAGGUUGUUUCUAGUCUUUAUCAAGGGAUAUUCGAUUUUUCACUAUAGGCCUCAAUGGGCUAUGAAAUGUCUCCUUGUAGAUUCUACAAAAAAAGAGUUUCCAACCUGCAGAAUCAAAUGAAAAGUUCAACUUCUGAGAUAAAAUCACACAUCACAAAGUAUUUUCAGAGGUAGCUUCUUUACAGUUUUUAUCGCAGGAUAUUUGAUUUUUCUCUAUAGGCCUCAAUGAGCUCUGAAAUGUCCCUUCAUAGAUUCUACAACAAGAGUAUUUCCAACCUGCAAAAUAAAAACAAAGGCUUAACUCUGUGAGAUAAAUCCACACAUCACAA
This 1760-nucleotide long non-coding RNA is filed under the name Homo sapiens (human). RNAcentral describes it as "HSALNT0238791". The record is from RNAcentral. Lineage: Eukaryota; Metazoa; Chordata; Mammalia; Primates; Hominidae.